RNAcentral lists this ribosomal RNA (450 nucleotides) under uncultured bacterium. RNAcentral describes it as "bacterial SSU rRNA". It matches the Rfam family "Bacterial small subunit ribosomal RNA", at positions 354 to 796 of the family's 1533-position model. The record is from RNAcentral.
GUGGGGAAUAUUGCGCAAUGGGGGAAACCCUGACGCAGCGACGCCGCGUGGAGGAUGAAGGUUUUCGGAUUGUAAACUCCUUUUAGAGGGGAAGAAAACUAUAUUGUUAAUAACAAUAUAGCUUGACUGUACUCUCAGAAAAAGCCCCGGCUAACUCCGUGCCAGCAGCCGCGGUAAUACGGAGGGGGCAAGCGUUGUUCGGAAUUAUUGGGCGUAAAGGGCGCGCAGGCGGCAAUAUAAGUCAGACGUGAAAUCCCUCAGCUUAACUGAGGAAUUGCGUUUGAAACUGUAUUGCUUGAGUACAGGAGAGGAGAGUGGAAUUCCCAGUGUAGCGGUGAAAUGCGUAGAUAUUGGGAGGAACACCGGUGGCGAAGGCGGCUCUCUGGACUGUUACUGACGCUGAGGCGCGAAAGCAUGGGGAGCAAACGGGAUUAGAAACCCGAGUAGUCC